GCCUUCGUGGCGUAGUGCUCAGCACGCUCGACGUGUAACCGAGAGGUCCGUGGUUCGAUUCCCGGAGAAGGCG
RNAcentral lists this transfer RNA (73 nucleotides) under Stegodyphus mimosarum. It matches the Rfam family "tRNA". Rfam says of the family: Transfer RNA (tRNA) molecules are approximately 80 nucleotides in length. Their secondary structure includes four short double-helical elements and three loops (D, anti-codon, and T loops). The record is from Rfam by way of RNAcentral. Lineage: Eukaryota; Metazoa; Arthropoda; Arachnida; Araneae; Eresidae.